RNAcentral lists this ribosomal RNA (109 nucleotides) under Staphylococcus sp. SKL70935. RNAcentral's name for it is "partial 23S ribosomal RNA". It matches the Rfam family "Bacterial large subunit ribosomal RNA", at positions 2815 to 2925 of the family's 2925-position model. Lineage: Bacteria; Bacillati; Bacillota; Bacilli; Caryophanales; Staphylococcaceae. The record is from RNAcentral.
CAACUUCGGUUAUAAGAUCCCUCGAAGAUGACGAGGUUAAUAGGUUCGAGGUGGAAGCGUGGUGACACGUGGAGCUGACGAAUACUAAUCGAUCGAAGACUUAAUCAAU